CGUGUGCCUUGGAGUCUCAGAGAGUUUGAUCAUGGCUCAGGAUGAACGCUGGCGGCGUGCUUAACACAUGCAAGUCGAACGGAGUAAUAUGAAGUUUCGGACGGAUUAUUACUAGUGGCGGACGGGUGAGUAACGCGUGGGUAACCUACCUCAUACAGGGGGAUAACAGUUGGAAACGACUGCUAACACCGCAUAACAAGUUGGGACCGCAUGAUCCUAACUUCAAAUAUUUAUAGGUAUGAGAUGGGCCCGCGUCUGAUUAGCUAGUUGGUGGGGUAAUGGCCUACCAAGGCGACGAUCAGUAGCCGGCUUGAGAGAGUGACCGGCCACAUUGGGACUGAGACACGGCCCAAACUCCUACGGGAGGCAGCAGUGGGGAAUAUUGGACAAUGGGGGCAACCCUGAUCCAGCCGACGCCGCGUGAGUGAAGAAGUAUUUCGGUAUGUAAAGCUCUAUCAGCAGGGAAGAUAAUGACAGUACCUGACUAAGAAGCCCCGGCUAACUACGUGCCAGCCGCCGC
RNAcentral lists this ribosomal RNA (520 nucleotides) under uncultured bacterium. Its description in RNAcentral is "bacterial SSU rRNA". It matches the Rfam family "Bacterial small subunit ribosomal RNA", at positions 1 to 518 of the family's 1533-position model. The record is from RNAcentral.